RNAcentral lists this ribosomal RNA (251 nucleotides) under uncultured bacterium. RNAcentral's name for it is "partial 16S ribosomal RNA". It matches the Rfam family "Archaeal small subunit ribosomal RNA", at positions 474 to 727 of the family's 1478-position model. The record is from RNAcentral.
UACCAGCACCCCGAGUGGUCGGGACGAUUAUUGGGCCUAAAGCAUCCGUAGCCGGUCAUGCAAGUCCUCCGUUAAAUCCAGCCGCUCAACGGUUGGGCUGCGGAGGAUACUACGUGGCUAGGAGGCGGGAGAGGCAAGCGGUACUCAGUGGGUAGGGGUAAAAUCCUUUGAUCCAUUGAAGACCACCAGUGGCGAAGGCGGCUUGCCAGAACGCGCUCGACGGUGAGGGAUGAAAGCUGGGAGCAAACCGG